This 648-nucleotide long non-coding RNA is filed under the name Mytilus galloprovincialis (Mediterranean mussel). The record is from RNAcentral. Lineage: Eukaryota; Metazoa; Mollusca; Bivalvia; Mytilida; Mytilidae.
CUCUUUUAAGAUUCUUUUUAAAUCACAUUUCAUAGAAACAUAUGUCACAAAAACUAUAUAAUACUGAAGGGGUAAACUAAACAAUAUUCCACUCAACUUUCCAAAAAUUAUUUGUGGAUAUUUUUCGUUGUAACUUCAUUUUACAUCCUUUAAAGUUAAUUUUUCUCAUCUUGUUAGAGUGUUUAGAUUUUGCAUUUUUAUUAUGUAAAUCCUCGGAACAAGUUCUCGUCUGCUUAUUUCCAUCACAUCCUUGCAAUUCAAUAACUUCCGGUGAUCAGUGAGAUUAAUUAGACCUCAUUAAAGCUUCAGAAAAUGAUAAUCAGCUGUUGUUUAUAUGUACAUGGGUUUUCCCGCAGCAUACUAUAAAAUAAAUGGUACAUUAAUCCGUCCAGAAAAAACAACAUAAAGUACUUAUACCGACCAUUUUCAAAGAACACUCCGCACACUGUUCUGGUCGCUAAUUAUGUCUUUUAGAGCCAUUCUUCUUAAAGUAAAGGAAUCUCGCUACCACUGACUGAACAGAGGAUCGAUCAAUCUUUAGCAGAUUUGAUAUCGUCUGCUUUUAAGUCUACUUACGCAUAUCUAAUAAUAUCCUCUGAUGUAUAAUAUUUGUUUGUAUUUUUUUUUGCUAAGCGUGUUUAGUAUUAG